UUUUUCUUCAGGACAGUUAAAAGAGCAGG
This 29-nucleotide non-coding RNA is filed under the name Cricetulus griseus (Chinese hamster). The record is from RNAcentral. Lineage: Eukaryota; Metazoa; Chordata; Mammalia; Rodentia; Cricetidae.